This 271-nucleotide ribosomal RNA is filed under the name uncultured archaeon. Its description in RNAcentral is "partial 16S ribosomal RNA". It matches the Rfam family "Archaeal small subunit ribosomal RNA", at positions 477 to 747 of the family's 1478-position model. The record is from RNAcentral.
CAGCUCCACGAGUGGGAACUACAAUUAUUUGGCCUAAAGCGUCCGUAGCUGGUUAAGUAAAUCUCUUGUGAAAUUGUUUUGCUCAACAAAACAGCGUGCAGGAGAGACUGCUUGACUAGGGACCGGGAGGAGUCAGAGGUAUGCUGAGGGGAGCGGUAAAAUGCUAUAAUCCUCGGUAGACCACCUGUGGCGAAGGCGUCUGACUAGAACGGGUCCGACAGUGAGGGACGAAAGCCAGGGGAGCAAACCGGAUUAGAUACCCGAGUAGUCC